UUCACCAUGUUUCCUGUCGCUCUGUUGCUGCUGCUGGCAGCUGCAUUUACAGGUGUGAAGUGUGAACAGCUGACACAGCCAGACUCUGUGACUGUGCAGCCAGGUCAGCGUCUGACCCUCACCUGUCACGUCUCUUAUUCGGUGGUUCCAGGUGGGUACUGGACAGCUUGGAUCAGACAACGUGCAGGGAAAGGACUGGAGUGGAUCGGGAUGAGAUACACUGAAGGCUCUCGCUACAAAGAUUCACUGAAGAGCAAAUUCACCAUUGAUGUUGAUGCUUCCAGCAAAACAGUGACUCUAAACGGACAGAACCUGCAGCCUGAAGACUCUGCUGUUUAUUACUGUGCCAGAUACACACAGUGACACAAAGCAUCAGUGGAGCUGAACAAAAACCCCUCAGAGCCUCAGUCACAUGAAGACACCAGAGGAGGAGCUCACAGACCAGGAAUGACUUUAACAGUGUUUAAAAACAUCGGGAUUUUAAACUGAAAUGAACUAGAACAUAUUUUAGCGGAGGUAUUUGAUGAAGAUGAU
Molecule: non-coding RNA, 534 nt
Organism: Betta splendens (Siamese fighting fish)
Lineage: Eukaryota; Metazoa; Chordata; Actinopteri; Anabantiformes; Osphronemidae
Source: the annotation of a RefSeq genome assembly